RNAcentral lists this ribosomal RNA (326 nucleotides) under Elasmucha lateralis. RNAcentral's name for it is "partial 12S rRNA". The record is from RNAcentral. Lineage: Eukaryota; Metazoa; Arthropoda; Insecta; Hemiptera; Acanthosomatidae.
UUUCAUUGGUAUUAAUAGCUAAGGUCUUUAAAUUAAAAGAAUUUGACGGUAAUUUAUCAUUUCAGAGGAACCUGUCCUUUAAUCGAUAUUCCACGUUAAAUUUUACCUUAAUUUUUGCUUAUAUACCUCUGUUUUGGAGUGUUUUAUUAGAAUUUAUUCUCUUUAAUUAUUUUAUAAUUUAUAUCAGGUCAAGGUUUAGCUAUAUUAAGGUUGAGAUGGGUUACAUUUAAUUAUAUUAUUGAAUAUUUAUAUUUAUUUAUAAAUUGAAAUUGGAUUUGAUUGUAAUUUGUAUUAUUUAUUAUUUAUGAUAUUUGUUCUAGAUUAAG